RNAcentral lists this ribosomal RNA (235 nucleotides) under Escherichia coli. RNAcentral describes it as "partial 16S ribosomal RNA". It matches the Rfam family "Bacterial small subunit ribosomal RNA", at positions 59 to 290 of the family's 1533-position model. Lineage: Bacteria; Pseudomonadati; Pseudomonadota; Gammaproteobacteria; Enterobacterales; Enterobacteriaceae. The record is from RNAcentral.
AAGUCGAACGGUAACAGGAAGCAGCUUGCUGCUUUGCUGACGAGUGGCGGACGGGUGAGUAAUGUCUGGGAAACUGCCUGAUGGAGGGGGAUAACUACUGGAAACGGUAGCUAAUACCGCAUAACGUCGCAAGACCAAAGAGGGGGACCUUCGGGCCUCUUGCCAUCGGAUGUGCCCAGAUGGGAUUAGCUUGUUGGUGGGGUAACGGCUCACCAAGGCGACGAUCCCUAGCUGG